GGCCCAGACUCCUACGGGAGGCAGCAGUGGGGGAUAUUGCACAAUGGGGGAAACCCUGAUGCAGCGACACCGCGUGUGGGAAGACGGUCCUCUGGUUUGUACACCCCUGUCCCCAGGGACGAAGAUGACGGUACCUGGGGAGGAAGCUCCGGCUAACUACGUGCCAGCAGCCGCGGUAAUACGUAGGGAGCAAGCGUUGUCCGGAAUUACUGGGUGUAACGGGAGCGUAGGCGGGAUGGCAAGUUGGGUGUUAAAUCUGCCGGCUCAACUGGUAGUCGCACUCAAAACUGCUAUUCUUGAGUGAAGUAGAGGCAGGCGGAAUUCCCAGUGUAGCGGUGAAAUGCGUAGAUAUUAGGAGGAACACCAGUGGCGAAGGCGGCCUGCUGGGCUUUUACUGACGCUGAGGCUCGAAAGUGUGGGGAGCAAACAGGAUUAGAUACCCGGGUA
This 447-nucleotide ribosomal RNA is filed under the name uncultured bacterium. RNAcentral describes it as "bacterial SSU rRNA". It matches the Rfam family "Bacterial small subunit ribosomal RNA", at positions 328 to 792 of the family's 1533-position model. The record is from RNAcentral.